Molecule: ribosomal RNA, 403 nt
Filed under: uncultured Prevotella sp.
Lineage: Bacteria; Pseudomonadati; Bacteroidota; Bacteroidia; Bacteroidales; Prevotellaceae
Description: bacterial SSU rRNA
Rfam family: Bacterial small subunit ribosomal RNA
Source: RNAcentral
UGAGGAAUAUUGGUCAAUGGGCGAGAGCCUGAACCAGCCAAGUAGCGUGUGGGACGAAUGCCCUAUGGGUUGUAAACCACUUUUGCAGGAGGGUAAAAUGCUUCACGUGUGGAGUAUUGCAAGUAUCCUGCGAAUAAGGACCGGCUAAUUCCGUGCCAGCAGCCGCGGUAAUACGGAAGGUCCGGGCGUUAUCCGGAUUUAUUGGGUUUAAAGGGAGCGUAGGCCGGAGAUUAAGCGUGUUGUGAAAUGCCGCGGCUCAACCGUGGCACUGCAGCGCGAACUGGUUUUCUUGAGUGCGCGCGACGCAGGCGGAAUUCGUGGUGUAGCGGUGAAAUGCUUAGAUAUCACGAGGAACCCCGAUUGCGAAGGCAGCUUGCGGGAGCGCAACUGACGCUGAAGCUCG